CUUGAGCGAGCCGAGCCACAGCGGCCCGUCGGCGCGGUCCUGGCCAUACGUCGCGAGCAGCGCCUGCGCCUC
Molecule: antisense RNA, 72 nt
Filed under: Actinoplanes awajinensis subsp. mycoplanecinus
Lineage: Bacteria; Bacillati; Actinomycetota; Actinomycetes; Micromonosporales; Micromonosporaceae
Description: ASpks TB sRNA
Rfam family: ASpks TB sRNA
Source: Rfam by way of RNAcentral